Long non-coding RNA from Podarcis muralis (Common wall lizard), 619 nucleotides. RefSeq lists it as uncharacterized. NCBI's taxonomy places the organism in Eukaryota, Metazoa, Chordata, Lepidosauria, Squamata, Lacertidae. The record is from RefSeq and is a predicted model, not a curated record.
AAAGCUUAAGUUUCUAUUGUUUUUCUCUCGCUAACAUUGUCUCGCGGCAGAUCUUCUACACCUUCAGGGGUUGUGUACACUGAAGCCCGAACAUAAUUUUUAACAGGGGAGGCUCACCCUUGCACGCAUCUGCUAAAGUCCAAAAAUCGACUCCUCUCCCCCCAAAACCUCUCACAUCUGCUAUUUGGGGUAGGAAGAGCGAAGAAAAGGUGGUCGAAGUGCUGGUGGAAAACGCAGAAGUGCUUCAGACAUGUUUCAGUAAUGCCAAGUAGCAUCUUUCUCCAGUUCACUACAGUAUGUUUGAAUUCUAUUAAUCUUCAGCCUCUUGCUGCUAAAGGUUCGUCAGAAAGGCUCAGUGAUCAUCCUGACUUCUCUGGGAUUUUUUCUGAAGAGAAAAGCCUCAUUAUUGCUCAGUGAAUUGAAGAAGAGAAUGCCAGACACCUUCAGAGGACAUUAGGCUGGCCUGCAACUCAUAGCCAGCAACUUGGAAGGGUUUUUUUAAAAAAUAAAAACAAACAAACCAGCUCAUUCCUAACAGCAGAGGCUUAUUUCUGAGUCAUAAAUGUGGAGAUAGGGGCACAAAACAGGAAAAUAGCAUUUUCAAACCUUACCUGUGGGU